This is an RNA transcript of Drosophila willistoni, 2783 nucleotides long. RefSeq lists it as uncharacterized. NCBI's taxonomy places the organism in Eukaryota, Metazoa, Arthropoda, Insecta, Diptera, Drosophilidae. The transcript has 4 exons. The record is from RefSeq and is a predicted model, not a curated record.
UGAGAAAAUUUAUUUUCGUUUUUUUUUUCAUUUUGUUUUUUGUUUUUGAAUUUAUUAAUAUGAACAAGGAUGUAUAUGAACAUUUUUCCCGGGGCUCGGACUAUAGCUCUGAGACGUGAUCUGGACGCCAUGUCAGUUUUCUAUGAAGAACGAAGUGCUGCCAACAGACGUAAACACUUUAAACUAAUGGAGGCACCAAUGCCAGGUUUGAGCUUUUUUUUUCAUGGACUUAUACUAAGCGCAUGCGAACACUUUGCUAUUGACUUUAUCACAAGAAAAUAUGAACUAAGCCAUAACAGUGCUGGUAAUGGGAAUGGGGAUGGAGAUGUGCUGUUGCAAAUCGCCGGGCGUCUACCUCAAAAUUAUAUAGUUCGAAAUUCUCGACUAAUGGGUAAAUGGGGAAUCGAGGAGAAUUCGUCAAACCUUUUUUUCCAAUUAGUGCGGGGCAAGUCCUUUUGGAUGCAGGUCCUUCUUACAGAGGAAUCGUUUUACAUAUCAGUAAACGGAUUUCAUUUUGUGGAGUACCACCAUCGAUUACCUUACAGGUGGUUGGUGGGCAUAGAUGUUCAUGGAGAUGUGUCAGAUGUUGUGGUUAACAAUUUUUACGUAAACGAGUAUCCCAUUCUCCUAUCUGAAACAUUAGCGCGUCCAUUAGCCUGUGUGUAUAACUCACCCGUAAUUCAAUGGGUCGAAGACGGACGUUUUCUGCCGCGUGAAUGGCUACGCGUAGAUGAUGCUAUAGCCACGAUGAAAAAACUGCACAAAAUACAUCGAUCUCAGAUAACGCUUCCAUUUUACGGAAGAAUACCCGAAAUUGAGAAGCUUACUGAAGGACGGGCGAUCCGCAUUGAAGGCAGAGUACGAUUAAUGCCCCAGAGUUUUAGCGUGACCCUGCAGCGGGGUCAAGAAGUAUGGCCCCAGCCUACAGCAUCGUUUUUCUUCAGUCCUAGCUUCCUACGUAACUGCCGUGAUAAACUAGGAAAAGCUAUUAUAACCAGAAGUGCUUUUUUGAAUGGGUGUUGGGUGAAUCGCGAAGUAACUCGUAUGCAUACAAAUUUGAGACCUGGAAGUGCUUUCGUCAUUAUCAUUGCAUGUCGUCAAAGUUACUACGAAGUAUUUGUAAAUAGUGAAAAACUUUUAAAGUUCAAGCAUCAAAUGAAUCCAGACAUCGUUGAUAUUGUAAAUAUUCGUGGAGAUAUUAGGCUCUGGGAAGUUGUGAUCGAAAGUUUUGCACAAAGUACAGCUCGGUUGGCUAUUGGCCGUGCACUGGCCAACUUGCGGUAAAUGUAUCAAUAUGAACAAUUAUUAUUUGCACUCAACGGCGGCCUGUCAAAAUUCAUGUAGAACAAAUUUAUGGAAAACCUUGAUAUACCGCAUGCACUGAAAACAACGUCAAUAAAGUGGAAUAUGCUGCAUGAUUCAAAGUCGUUGUUUUCUCUGAGUGUAUGUUCAUGGACUAUAUAUAUGUUUAAAACGACUGCAAGAACGCCUGCCACGUACGUUUUAAGUAGAUUUAUGAUUUCAUCUUUGCCCAACAUAGGAUUCUGCAAUUAAAAUAGCGCAGCCUCAUAGGGUAUGAUCUGUGUGCUCUUCCACGGCGCUUCAACUCAUAAAUGUCAAUGCGCUCUUGCUGUCAACUUCAACUGGGCAACUGCCAUAUGCAGCAUCGACAUACCAGAUACAGCCCCAGACCCAGACUCGACCCAAUCGAUCGUCAGAAGUGGUCCUCUGAAAUUGAUUAUUAAAAAUGAUAAUCGAUUAAGGACGCAGCUCUCCAGCGGGCCCAGCAGGCUGACGUUUAUGUCUACAUAUGUUUAGCAAGACAGUUGACAUUGUUUUUGGAAUGGCCUAUACAAAAAAGUUAAAUAAAUAAAAAUGCAGCGGCAGUGUCAGCGAAAUGGCAAUGCCGAAAACGUUCAAGUGGACGUCAAAUAUUUCCCAAGGCUUGCAAAAGGAAGUCGAAGACAAGACUGCCAAAGAGCAAAAAAAAUAUUAUUUAUGUUCCAAGCUCGGACGUGCUACGCAUGCCUCGGUCCAUUUUUACUAAUGAAGUGGAUCAUUGAUUGCCUGCUUCGGUUUUCAUUGUGCAAUCUACAUUCCUAUAGAUAACUAAAUCUAUAUCCUCUGUAUUUCUAAGCGAUACAUAGUCAAUCCUUUGAAGCCGUAAUGUUAAUUAGAUACAAAUAUAUCUAUGUAUUAAAGAAAGUUUACUUAACUACCUCGAUUCAUCCAACACUGGACAACUGCGUGCAAAAAUGCUGAUCAGGACAUGUCUGCGAUGGCUCUACUGGUUAACUGACUGCACCCAUUUGCAGUAAUUAAUCAAAUUCGAAAUUAAUUAUGCGCACAUGGGAGGCAGCAGCAGUGAUUGGCCUCAAAUUCACUCGCGUUGGCAGCGUUGCAAUUAAAAUGUCGUCGCACCCGAAAAAAAAUUCAAUUCCACAGUUUAUGUCGGAUCCCUAACAUCACAAAUGCCUGCUCCAGCUGAUGUCGUCGCUGUCUUAUACGUCUCAUAAUUAACUCAGGUGCUCGUGCUGCGACUGCAUUAUUUUGUCUUUGGGGCGCCUCUUUUUUAUCCUUAUUCGCAUUAUUUUACACAUAUCUCGGCCAGUGGUGCAAUUUGUCAGGACUGAUUAUGUCAUUAACUUGAGUAGAGCUUGAUUUUUCUAGAUAACCUUUUAGCAAAACCAUAGCAGUUGGAUGGCAAUAUUUUCUGAUAAUUUUACCACUUAUUAGAAUUGUAUUGUAAAAUUUGCAUUAAAAAGCCAAUUACAGGCAUAUUA